Molecule: long non-coding RNA, 1678 nt
Filed under: Homo sapiens (human)
Lineage: Eukaryota; Metazoa; Chordata; Mammalia; Primates; Hominidae
Description: HSALNT0052601
Source: RNAcentral
GCUUAGCUGAGAUCAAAAGAAACUGCCCAGCUGACCUGCAGACUCAUGAGCAGAAUAAAUGGUUGUUAUUUUAAGCUACUAGAUUCUCCUUGAACUCUAAGCCUGGAGGCUUUAGUGAUUCAGGCAGGAGAGGUUAGGUUCCUGACUUCUUUAGCAAGAGAUAGGUUUGAGCAUUAGGCAUUGUUGAGAAGGGAGAUUUUUCUAAAUUUCUUUAGUUGUUUUUUUUUCAUAGCAAAAGCCAGUUUCCCUAGACUUUCUCUUAUUUAGUAAAAAAAGAAAUACUUAUCCCCAUCUAGGCUUAGCCUCAAAGCUGGAAUUGAGAAGGAGAAUAUGACACAGAGAAAGCCUGUCCCUUCUGGUGAGAUGUUUGAGGGGAUAAGAGGAGUCAGACAGAGUGAGAGACUGAGGAAGAAAAAGAAGCCCUUUGGACAUGUAGGUCCUGGAUAUUCUGUCUCAUGAAGAUGAGGAACAGCAUUAGAGGACGCUGUGCAGAUCUGAGUGGUAGUAGCCGGGGAUUCAGGUCUUCUUCUAUCUCUCCAUUGAUGGCUCUGGAGUCUGUAAUGCUCCUCUGGUUGUCUUCACUGAUGGAUGGAUCUUCACACCAAGAUUUGGGCGAUUUAUACAAUGUGAUGGGAACACAGUAUAAUCUUUAUAGUGCUUCUCUUCUAAGAGCUUCUAAAAAACCCCACUUCCUGCUGCACAGCAGCUGGCCAUUUUGAUGAAGACUUCAUCCUGUGAUGCUACUACCUGGAUCAUCUAAGUCUCACUCUGUUGCCCAGCCUGGAUUGCAGUGACAUGAUCACAGCUCACUACAACCUCAACCUCCCUGGGAUCAAGCUAUCCUCCCAUCUUAGCUUCCCAAGUCAUUGGGACUACAGGGAAUGUGCCGCUGUGCCCAGCCAAACUGGAUCUUCAGUAUGUUUAUGUAACUUUCCGGGAGCAGAGUGUUUUCAGCUUUGGAGCUUCAAUCGAACUUUUGAGACAAGAAGAGGAAAGACAAGAAAAGUGUCUUCUUCACAAUUUUAUUAUUUUGGUGUCAAAGAUUCCAGUUGAUUAUCCCUUUCUAUCUCCAAAGUCUGGCAAACCCUACUUACCUCCCCAACUGCUUUCGAAAGCAUAAACAAAAUAAAAUAACAUCAUCAAAGAUUCCAGAAGAUUGGGAAAGGUGUGGAAGGUAGUGAUUAAAGUAUAGUUGUAAGGGCCCUUUGACAUCAAUUUUAUUCUCUCAGGGGGCUUAAAGUGUUUCUUUUCUGCUUCCUUUACUACAAAGAUAUUUCACUCAAACUCUAUCUUGUUAUAGACUCUUGAAAACUGGGGAUAUGGUUUCUAGCCUUGUAAUUUGUGUAAUAAAAUGUCAGUCAUAAAAACCACUGGGAAUCUGGGACAUUUGUAAUGAUUGGGCUGUCGUUAAAAUACAUGAUUGCUCAAAGGUAUGGCUUAACCCAGGAAAACACAAACCACAAUAAAAGGUCACAUGGAAGAUACAGGCAUGGGCAGGCAUCACUUGGUGGCAAGCAACAGAAAUCCCUUAAGAAAGCGCGAGUGAAAAGCAAUUUAUUUCAGGGGACUCUGAUGGUAUUUUGAAGAAGGUAUAACUCCUGGAACUGGAAAGCUUUGAGAUACUUAUCUCUCUCUCUCUCUCUGUCUCUGCCUCUCUCUUUCUCUCUGCCUCUCUCUG